GGGUGCGUAGCUCAGCGGAUAGAGCAACCGCCUUCUAAGCGGUCGGUCGAAGGUUCAAGUCCUUCCGCACCCG
RNAcentral lists this transfer RNA (73 nucleotides) under Xenococcus sp. (in: cyanobacteria). RNAcentral describes it as "tRNA-Arg". It matches the Rfam family "tRNA". From Rfam's summary of the family: Transfer RNA (tRNA) molecules are approximately 80 nucleotides in length. Their secondary structure includes four short double-helical elements and three loops (D, anti-codon, and T loops). Lineage: Bacteria; Bacillati; Cyanobacteriota; Cyanophyceae; Pleurocapsales; Xenococcaceae. The record is from RNAcentral. RNAcentral also lists the same sequence under 4 other names.